AUUGUUUAUGGUGAGAGUUAGAGGAUCAGUUUCAAAAAGAUGAUUAACUUAAUUUUUUUUAUAACUUAGAAAUGUGUGUAAACUUGUCAAUUGGAUCUCAAAUUGGUUGUCUUUUCUCUAUGUUGUAAAGUUGGUGUAUUUAUGUAUCAAUUGGGCUAAAAGUCAGUUGGAUUGUUAUUGUUAAUGGUAAGAGUUAGAAGGUCAGUUUGACAAAGAUUAUUAAACUAAGAUAUAAUCUUUUCUUGAUAACUUAGUAAUAAUGUGUGUAAAUUUGUCAAUUAGAUCCCAAAUUGGUAGGAUUUACACUAUGUAUGGUGAAAAAUGUCUAUCUUUGGUUCUUAAUUAUGAUUAAUGUUUAUACUCUUUGGCAGUUGUCUGAGGGAGGGGAGAAGAAUCAACUCUUCCAUUCUGUCUAAACAGCCCAAUUUUCUCAAAGAUGAAAUAGAUGCAAUACUCAUGAUUAGAAGUUGGAAAACCAAGAAAGAAUUUCAUUAUGACUAUGGCAAAGUUGUAGAAAGGUCUUUUGGUGGCUUGUACAUAACGAACUUUUGAUGGUCCUGACAGUCAUGGAUCAGCAGUUAAAAUAUACAGGACUAUCCGUGCUUAUAGCUUUUAGCCUUACUUUUGCCCACUGUGAAAAUGUGUUUUUGUCAAAUAGCACAACUUGGGAGUCCUGUAACUAUAAUCUUAAACUGCUUGUUGAAAAAUGCAAUGUAAAUAUAAUCUACUUUUUGGUUUGAAUUA
This is a long non-coding RNA of Lycium ferocissimum, 744 nucleotides long. RefSeq lists it as uncharacterized. The record is from RefSeq and is a predicted model, not a curated record. Lineage: Eukaryota; Viridiplantae; Streptophyta; Magnoliopsida; Solanales; Solanaceae. The transcript is spliced from 2 exons.